UGCGCAGGCGGUUCGGAAAGAAAGAUGUGAAAUCCCAGAGCUUAACUUUGGAACUGCAUUUUUAACUGCCGAGCUAGAGUAUGUCAGAGGGGGGUAGAAUUCCACGUGUAGCAGUGAAAUGCGUAGAGAUGUGGAGGAAUACCGAUGGCGAAGGCAGCCCCCUGGGAUAAUACUGACGCUCAUGCACGAAAGCGUGGGGAGCAAACAGGAUUAGAUACCCUGGUAGUCCACGCCCUAAACGAUGUCAACUAGCUGUUGGGGCCUUCGGGCCUUAGUAGCGCAGCUAACGCGUGAAGUUGACCGCCUGGGGAGUACGGUCGCAAGAUUAAA
This 330-nucleotide ribosomal RNA is filed under the name uncultured Alcaligenaceae bacterium. Its description in RNAcentral is "bacterial SSU rRNA". It matches the Rfam family "Bacterial small subunit ribosomal RNA", at positions 568 to 898 of the family's 1533-position model. Lineage: Bacteria; Pseudomonadati; Pseudomonadota; Betaproteobacteria; Burkholderiales; Alcaligenaceae. The record is from RNAcentral.